UCAUACAAUCAUAGCCAUUCAUUUAUAGAAAUUUUAUAUAACCAUAGCAAAUAAUACAUUAUUAUUUAUCUAUCGUUUGGUUCAGGAUUAAGUAAAAACUUGUUAUUUUAGGGAUAAGAUUAAGUUCAGGAUUAAGGUGGGGUUAGAGUAAUUUUGUGUUUGGUUGAGAAUUGAGUUUAGUCCAGAUAUAAGUAAAAUAGUGUUUGGUUGAAGUAGUUGGAAUAAGAAGUAUAGUGGGUUAUUAUAAAUAGAAAAUAGUGUUUGGUUCGGAUAGGGUGGGAUUAACUAACCCCACCCUCCAAAUUGGAUGUUUGAGAAUAACUUCGGUGUUAAGGAGUUAUUCCACCCCUUAACCCCGAACCAAACGGUGACUUAGAGUUCCACCCCUUAACUCCGAAUCAAACGGUGACUUAGAGUAUAUGUAUUGAAUCUGAUCACUACAAAGAGAAUAACCUCCGCUA
This 461-nucleotide long non-coding RNA is filed under the name Ananas comosus (pineapple). RNAcentral's name for it is "long non-coding RNA (ACOM_LNC013033)". Lineage: Eukaryota; Viridiplantae; Streptophyta; Magnoliopsida; Poales; Bromeliaceae. The record is from RNAcentral.